RNAcentral lists this transfer RNA (64 nucleotides) under Bironella hollandi. RNAcentral's name for it is "tRNA-Cys". The record is from RNAcentral. Lineage: Eukaryota; Metazoa; Arthropoda; Insecta; Diptera; Culicidae.
GGCUUUAUAGUCAAUUAUGACAUUAGACUGCAAUUCUAAAGGAAUAAAAAUAUUAUUAAAGCUU